GGUCAGGUGUCCGAGUGGCCGAAGGAGCACGCCUGGAAAGCGUGUAUACCGCAAGGUAUCGAGGGUUCGAAUCCCUCCCUGACCGCCA
RNAcentral lists this transfer RNA (88 nucleotides) under Neptuniibacter sp. Phe_28. RNAcentral's name for it is "tRNA-Ser". It matches the Rfam family "tRNA". From Rfam's summary of the family: Transfer RNA (tRNA) molecules are approximately 80 nucleotides in length. Their secondary structure includes four short double-helical elements and three loops (D, anti-codon, and T loops). Further hydrogen bonds mediate the characteristic L-shaped molecular structure. tRNAs have two regions of fundamental functional importance: the anti-codon, which is responsible for specific mRNA codon recognition, and the 3' end, to which the tRNAs corresponding amino acid is attached (by aminoacyl-tRNA synthetases). tRNAs cope with the degeneracy of the genetic code in two manners: having more than one tRNA (with a specific anti-codon) for a particular amino acid; and 'wobble' base-pairing, i.e. permitting non-standard base-pairing at the 3rd anti-codon position. Lineage: Bacteria; Pseudomonadati; Pseudomonadota; Gammaproteobacteria; Oceanospirillales; Oceanospirillaceae. The record is from RNAcentral. RNAcentral also lists the same sequence under 3 other names.